CUCAGCAGUGGCAGACAACAGAGCCCCGCCCCAGGGGCGGUGGGCAGGGCUGGUGGGGCAAAGCUGGUGUGAGCCAGGAGCAGGUGACCUCCAGCCUCAACACCGCUUCCGAUGAAGGGCUCGGCCCCCAGGGCCGGAUGUGAUGACACCUGAGACCAGACGGAUGCCUCCUGGCCCCUAGGAGGCCCCAGGUGGGGUCGAGCAGCUGAUGAGAGAGGAAGGGAAGCAGCACGAGGCUAAUUCGCGCAUCGCCUUUGCCUCUAAUGCGGCUCAGCCGCGAGGGCUCAGGGGGCGGCGCCUCCCCCGUCAUUUCUGUCUUGAGAAGCAGGGGCCUCCCGGGCCUUGACCUCGGCCGUGGGAGCAUUACCAGGCAUUUCUCCAGCCACCCCAGGCCUGCGGGAGGCUCCGACGCAGGCUCAGGCUGUGUGGGGGUCACGGCGGGCAGCCGGGGGAGGAGCGCGCUAUGUGGGCUCCCACCAAGCCGUCCUCUCAGCGGUGCAGCCCUCAAGGGUCCAGGUGCAUCAGAGCAUCACCCCUCGGAGGCUGCCAGUCUCAGGGGAGGCUUCAAAGACGCCAGUGCUGCCUGGGAUGUGCUGCUUGGAAAAUGCUCUUAGUCUCCAGAGAGAGAACAGGUAAGCCUUGGUGUCUUUAAGCCUCAGAGGGAGGCCCUUUUGCUAAGUUGGAGUGGAUUCUGAAUGAAUUCCUCUUAUCCCAUUUCCAAACCUUCACCACACUCAAGUUCUCUCCACCUGCUCUUCUCAGAUAAGGCCCCAGCACAUCCUUCUGGGGCAAUGGCAGGUGAGUCCCUGGCUUGCUGUCUCUAUCCCAACCCCUUUAUGAACUUGCUCCUAUUCCCUCCCUGCUAAGCUGCUCCUACUGCUGGGUGCUUGCUGUUUGUCCUUCACGUCAGCUCCAGAAUCUGGGCUUUGCUCCAGCCCUGGACCCCUUUGCUCCUGUAUUUUCCAGUCCUUCCUUUCUAAUGUUUUCCUCCUAAAUGCAUAAACAUGCUCAAGCCUCGUCUUUGUUUAGCAAAGAACAAGCCUCAGCCAGCCUCCAGAUAGCCUGUGCUUUCACGCUCCUCCCCAUGCCAGGUCCCCACGGAGCAGGCUGGACCUGCCAUCUCUUCUCCCUUGUCAUUCACGCCUUCCUUCCUCACGGCCAUCAGACUUCCGAUCCCAGGUCUCCCCAGAUACUUUGGAAAAAUGGAGCCCUUACUUCAGUUUUUCAAGAGGUCUUGAUUCAUAAUAUACUUCUGCUCCACAAUACCACCAGCCACCAGAAAGCAGCUGCCCCAGGCCCCACCCUAAGCUUCCCCAUCUCCAUGAGCUGCUGAAUAGUGUCCCCCAGAGGGAGGCCUGGCUGCCACAAUGAAUAUGGCCCUAGCUAAAUACUCUGGACUGUAGCUUUUUUUUUUUUUUUUUGCCAUUUCUGGGGCUCUCCCACGGCAUAUGGAGGUUCCCAGGCUAGGGGUUGAGUUGGAGCUCUAGCCGCCGGCCUACACCACAGCCACAGCAACGCAGGAUCCGAGCCGCAUCUGCAACCUACACCACAGUUCACGGCAACGCUGGAUCCUUAACCCACUAAGCGAGGCCAGGGAUUGAACCCGCAACCUCA
This 1614-nucleotide long non-coding RNA is filed under the name Sus scrofa (pig). RNAcentral describes it as "lncRNA (ENSSSCG00030050072.1)". The record is from RNAcentral. Lineage: Eukaryota; Metazoa; Chordata; Mammalia; Artiodactyla; Suidae.